CGUUUAAGAAAAUACGAAGCCGAUAGAGAAAUACGAUUUCAUAGCUGAGCGAAACUUGCUACCCGGAAGCGAUGUAUGGAGAAAAAAAAAUAUAGCAGCUAUGUAUAGGCUCGAGAAUAUGACAGAAAGAAAACGUUCAUAUGGAAGGAGAGAAACGUCGACAACACCUAGGCUACUGAGAGCGAGGUAGUCUCUCACAUUCGGUGGAGGGCUCUCUGCAAGAGUGAAAAGGAAAGACAAUGAUAGUUUGCAUAGGAUUCCCACACGGACGCGAGAAAAUCGUCUUGCUUCAUUUCAGAAAAAAAUACGAAGCCGAGAGAAAUGAACCUGCAGAGAGAAUCGGGAGAGAGAUGAGGAAGGGUUUUUGAUCGGGAGACUGGAACUCCACAGACAUUCUGUUGGUUAAGUUUGGCGUGAUAGCACGCAGUUUCUGCUAUUCCGGUAAUUUAUUUUAGAAAGCCGCGAUGGCGUCAAAGGGUCACGACAGGAAGAAGAACAAGAAGAAAGAACAGCUGAACUGGCUAUCAAUGAAGGUGAUUCGUAUUGACAAUUCGAAGCCUGGAAUUAUUCAGUACAAAUAUAGCCACGAUCCCGAUACGCCCUUCGCAGAGUUAGACGUGAGAAAAAUACUUGGAGGACCUGUGCCCAAUUUCCAAGAGGCAGUUCUGAAACCUAACAGGCAUGGUAUUUCUAAGUGACAUCAUGCACCUCCUUAAACACGUUCCUCCGGUACACCAUGGAUUCUAUGAGAAUUUACGAGUAGACGAAGACAGGGAUAAUGCAUUAAUUGAAUAAAAUUAAUUUCAACUUA
Toxorhynchites rutilus septentrionalis is the source of this 811-nucleotide long non-coding RNA. RefSeq lists it as uncharacterized. Lineage: Eukaryota; Metazoa; Arthropoda; Insecta; Diptera; Culicidae. The record is from RefSeq and is a predicted model, not a curated record. The transcript has 2 exons.